This 838-nucleotide long non-coding RNA is filed under the name Anas platyrhynchos platyrhynchos (common mallard). RNAcentral's name for it is "lncRNA (ENSAPLG00000025479.1)". Lineage: Eukaryota; Metazoa; Chordata; Aves; Anseriformes; Anatidae. The record is from RNAcentral.
UGUAUGUCUAUAUUUAAAUGUAUAAACACACAUAUUUUAGUUAGUAUUCAAUGUCAAUAAUUCACCUUUCUAAGCUGUGAGGUAUUCUUUAAGCAGACCACAAUUUUGAUGGUAAAUGCCUGCUCAUAAGCAUACUGCAGGAACCAAAACUUCGUCAACUGCUGGAGCACAGACUUCCAAAGGAGGCAGCACAGAAAUGAGAGGUUUGCAACUCAUUUGCAGAACUGAGAACUUGCAGGCAAGUUGCUCUCACUGCAGCAAAUUUUGGUGCCAUUUGGGCUGGGUCAGGUGUUACACUUAGGACAGGGCUCUGCAGGUACGUGAUGUCUGCAGCCUGUGUGGCUGCUUUCUGCAGUGUCCCCACCUGUGCCCUGGCCACUCAUUGGCUCUGACCAUCUCCCACCUUGCUGCUUUCCCUUCUCCAGCACACAGUGCUGCUCUCACAGGGAAGCACUUUGCCUCCCUCUGACCAGGGAAGGACAUGCGGCCUUCAUAUCUUCUAAGAGUCGCAUCCUUUUGGUGUAACAAAAUCUGCCUGGUGCUAGCAAAGCAGUGUAGAGCUGCUGUCCUUGUGAAGUGGUGGUUUUGUUCUGCUGAGAAUUGCUCUGGUGAGCUCCUGCCUCUGGCUGCCCUCGGUGCUCUGCUCUGGCUCACGUCAUGGUUCCAGGAAGGCAAGAACCCAACUGCAAAACCAUCCAGACUUCAUUAUUUAUUAAAGCUGGGAAAAACAAGUUACCCAAGUCAUAAAUACAUGGGUAACAUCGCUUAAUCCUGUGAAGGCAGUACUCUUAUCACAAAAGGUUCAAGCACAAAUAAAUUGUUUCUGGGCCCAGUAACA